CCCUUAGAUGUCCUGGGCCGCACGCGUGCUACACUGACACUUGCAACGAGUACUUUGCUUUACCGAAAGGUAAUGCUAAUCAUCAAUAAGUGUCGUGAUGGGGAUAGAUCUUUGGAAUUAUGGAUCUUGAACGAGGAAUGCCUAGUAAGCGUAGGUCAUUAGCCUACGCUGAUUAAGUCCCUGCCCUUUGUACACACCGCCCGUCGCUCCUACCGAUUUCGAGUGGUCCGGUGAAACUUUUGGACCGUGCGACUUUAUUGUUGUCACGGAAAGUCAGUUAAACCAUACUACUUAGAGGAGGGAGAAGUCGUAACA
RNAcentral lists this ribosomal RNA (315 nucleotides) under uncultured eukaryote. Its description in RNAcentral is "partial 18S ribosomal RNA". It matches the Rfam family "Eukaryotic small subunit ribosomal RNA", at positions 1470 to 1796 of the family's 1831-position model. The record is from RNAcentral.